Molecule: ribosomal RNA, 540 nt
Filed under: uncultured bacterium
Lineage: Bacteria
Description: bacterial SSU rRNA
Rfam family: Bacterial small subunit ribosomal RNA
Source: RNAcentral
AGAGUUUGAUCCUGGCUCAGAACGAACGCUGGCGGCGUGCCUAACACAUGCAAGUCGAGCGAGAAAGUCCCCGCAAGGGGAUGAGUACAGCGGCGAACGGGUGAGUAACACGUGGGCAACCUGCCCUUCAGUCAGGAAUAACCCCGCGAAAGCGGGGCUAAUACCAGAUGACGUCCUCUGAGGGCAUCUUCGGGGGACCAAAGGGGGCGAGCGAAAGCGGCUCUCGCUGAGGGAUGGGCCUGCGGCUGAUUAGCUAGUUGGUAGGGUAACGGCCUACCAAGGCGACGAUCAGUAGCCGACCUGAGAGGGUGACCGGCCACACUGGGACUGAGACACGGCCCAGACUCCUACGGGAGGCAGCAGUGGGGAAUAUUGCGCAAUGGGCGAAAGCCUGACGCAGCGACGCCGCGUGGGCGAUGAAGGCCUUCGGGUCAUAAAACCCUGUCGGGUGGAACGAAUCUCCGCCUCGCUAAUAUCGAGGCGGAUUGACGGUACCACCGAAGGAAGCCCCGGCUAACUACGUGCCAGCAGCCGCGGUAA